Molecule: long non-coding RNA, 229 nt
Organism: Corticium candelabrum
Lineage: Eukaryota; Metazoa; Porifera; Homoscleromorpha; Homosclerophorida; Plakinidae
Exons: 3
Source: RefSeq, a predicted model, not a curated record
UCUGUGUUUAAUUAAUGUGGUUUUAGCUAUCUACAGUACAACCGCAUUACUUCAGUGACUAAUUUCUUUCAAAGAAAUUUGUUCGAUUUGUCUGAAUAUAAAAUACAAGAAUUACAAUUGACUCAAAAUAGAAUUCAUACAAUCAAGUCUGGUGACUUGUCCAAUUUGCUACGCUUGCGCACUUUGAGUUUAGAUGGUAUGGUUGAUGUAAAUCUUCGAAUUGAAAGUG